Molecule: ribosomal RNA, 440 nt
Filed under: uncultured bacterium
Lineage: Bacteria
Description: partial 16S ribosomal RNA
Rfam family: Bacterial small subunit ribosomal RNA
Source: RNAcentral
CCUACGGGUGGCAGCAGUGGGGGAUAUUGCACAAUGGGGGGAACCCUGAUGCAGCGACGCCGCGUGGGUGAAGAAGCGCCUCGGCGCGUAAAGCCCUGUCAGCAGGGAAGAAAAUGACGGUACCUGAAGAAGAAGCACCGGCUAACUACGUGCCAGCAGCCGCGGUAAUAAGUAGGGGGCAAGCGUUACCCCGAUUUACUGGGUGUAAAGGGGGCGCAAACGGCGAUGCAAGGCAGGAGGGAAAGGCCGGGGGCCAACCCCGGGGCUGCUCUUGGAACUGCGUGGCUGGAGUGCAGGAGGGGAAGGCGGAAUUCCUGGUGUAGCGGUGAAAUGCGUAGAUAUCAGGAGGAACACCGGUGGCGAAGGCGGCCUGCUGGACUGCAACUGACGUUGAGGCCCGAAAGCGUGGGGAGCAAACAGGAUUAGAUACCCUGGUAGUC